GAUGAAGAACGUAGUGAAAUGCGAUAAGUAAUGUGAAUUGCAGAAUUCAGUGAAUCAUCGAAUCUUUGAACGCACAUUGCGCCCGUCAGUAUUCUGGCGGGCAUGCCUGUUCGAGCGUCAUUACGCCCCUCAAGUCCCCUGUGGACUUGGUGUUGGGGAUCGGCGAGGCUGGUUUUCCAGCACAGCCGUCCCUUAAAUUAAUUGGCGGUCUCGCCGUGGCCCUCCUCUGCGCAGUAGUAAAACACUCGCAACAGGAGCCCGGCGCGGUCCACCGCCGUAAAACCCCCCAACUUUUUAUAGUUGACCUCGAAUCAGGUAGGACUACCCGCUGAACUUAAGCAUAUCAAUAAGCGGAGGA
Molecule: unclassified non-coding RNA, 358 nt
Filed under: soil metagenome
Description: partial contains 5.8S ribosomal RNA, internal transcribed spacer 2, and large subunit ribosomal RNA
Rfam family: 5.8S ribosomal RNA (bases 1-120)
Source: RNAcentral